GGUCCCCGUAGUGAACUAGUUCCUAAGUUGACUAGUCAAUGAGGUGAUAGUUCGUCCGGAUGACGUACCUCCGCAAACCCGAUCUGAGAAAUUCAAGUUUCUGCAUCCUUCUAUGUUUGAUAAGGUCAUUUUGAACGGUCGGAUUGAACGUGGCUGGUGUCGUUCACGAUCGAGGCACGUUUAGGUCCCUCGCAGUGAACUAGUUCCUAAGUUGACUAAUCAAUUAGGUGACAGUUCGUCCGGAUGACGUACCUCCGUGAACCCGAUAUGAGAAAUUCAUGUUUCUGCAUCCUUCUAUGUUUGAUAAGGUCAUUUUGAACGGUCGGAUUGAACGUGGCUGGUGUCGUUCACGAUCGAGGCACGUUCAGGUCCCCGCAGUGAACUAGUUCCUAAGUUGAAUAGUCAAUUAGGUGAUAGUUCGUCCGGAUGACGUACCUCCGUGAACCGGAUCUGAGAAAUUCAAGUUUCUGCAUCCUUCUAUGUUUGAUAAGGUCAUUUUGAACGGUCGGAUUGAACGUGGCUGGUGUCGUUCACGAUCUAGGCACGUUCAGGUCCCCGUAGUGAACUAGUUCCUAAGUUGACUAGUCAAUUAGGUGAUAGUUCGUCUGGAUGACGUACCUCCGCAAACCCGAUCUGAGAAAUUCAAGUUUCUGCAUCCUUCUAUGUUUGAUAAGGUCAUUUUGAACGGUCGGAUUGAACGUGGCUGGUGUCGUUCACGAUCUAGGCACGUUCAGGUCCCUCGCAGUGAACUAGUUCCUAAGUUGACUAAUCAAUUAGGUGACAGUUCGUUCGGAUGACGUACCUCCGUGAACCCGAUCUGAGAAAUUCAAGUUUCUGCAUCCUUCUAUGUUUGAUAAGGUCAUUUUGAACGGUCGGACUGAACGUGGCUGGUGUCGUUCACGAUCUAGGCACGUUUAGAUCCCCGUAGUGAACUAGUUCCUAAGUUGACUAGUCAAUUAGGUGAUAGUUCGUCCGGAUGACGUACCUCCGUGAACCCGUUCUGAGAAAUUCAAGUUUCAGCAUCCUUCUAUGUUUGAUAAGGCCAUUUUGAACGGUCGGAUUGAACGUGGUUGGUGUUGUUCACGAUCGAGUCACGUUUAGGUCCCCGUAGUGAACUAGUUCCUAAGUUGAAUAGUCAAUUAGGUGAUAGUUCCGUCCGGAUGACGUACCUCCGUGAACCCGAUAUGAGAAAUUCAUGUUUCUGCAUCCUUCUAUGUUUGAUAAGGUCAUUUUGAACGGUCGGAUUGAACGUGGCUGGUGUCGUUCACGAUCUAGGCACGUCCAGGUCCCCGCAGUGAACUAGUUCCUAAGUUGAAUAGUCAAUUAGGUGAUAGUUCGUCCGGAUGACGUACCUCCGUGAACCCGAUAUGAGAAAUUCAUGUUUCUGCAUCCUUCUAUGUUUGAUAAGGUCAUUUUGAACGGUCGGAUUGAACGUGGCUGGUGUCGUUCACGAUCUAGGCACGUCCAGGUCCCCGCAGUGAACUAGUUCCUAAGUUGACUAGUCAAUUAGGUGAUAGUUCGUCCGGAUGACGUACCUCCGUGAACCCGAU
This 1550-nucleotide long non-coding RNA is filed under the name Medicago truncatula (barrel medic). Its description in RNAcentral is "long non-coding RNA (MTRU_LNC006204)". Lineage: Eukaryota; Viridiplantae; Streptophyta; Magnoliopsida; Fabales; Fabaceae. The record is from RNAcentral.